CUCUUAACCCAAUAAAAAAAUAAACUCACAUUAACGUCCUUGUAAAUACACGAAUUUUGUAAGGACAUUUUAUUACUUUUUUCCCUAAUAUACACAAGCAUUUCUCAUAAUCGGUACAUUGCCAACAUGUGACUCUUAAAUCAUAUAUUUGAAUACCAGCUGUUGAAUGAGCUAGGCAAAGAUCCGUAUGUCAAGUACCUCGGCCAGGAAGCCUAGGCAGGAGUUUCGAAAGUCCUCACACUGUCGGUUGUAGAAGGCCUCCAUUAGAUCAUGAUGAAACAUACUUCAAGUUGCUCCAUUGCAAAAUGUAAGCCCUUAGCGGGCAUUUCUCGGAACGAGGAAUUCAAACUCCAUUUCUCCUACAAGGUACAACGAGAAAAACACGGAUUAGAUCAUGAUGAAACAUAGAAAUAUAACAUGUAAUAAAUCGAACUCAUGCCUGUAGUGAGGUGAACUGUUGAGAAAAACUGACAUUAAUCGUUGGUAUGGAUAGUUCAUCUGUUGAUACCGACGGUUAAUCUCGACAUAUGGAAGCUCUAAGGGCCUCUCGAGUAAGGUAGAGACAUCAAUAGAUCACCAUUAUCUAGAGUACUCUGAAGUCAAUUUACAAGCAAUAAGUUGGAAAGACAUUCCACUACAAGGAGCGGAAUUAUACAUUGGCAAGAAAUGCACUAGUUGUCUAUCUUAUCUUUUCGGUAAUUGAAUUUGCACCUAAUAACAAGCAUACAUCUUUGAGUCUUCAGGAAAUACUAGAGCAUGUUUAACACACAUAAAGAUAUGUGUUAAUCCUUGCCAACAUGCUAUUGUUUUAUUAAAUCAUUGUAAUAGGUAUUGACAGGAGUUGGAAUACGAGCUAAAAUCUCAAUGAAAGAAUCAACUCUUAUUGCCGAUAAACUAUUAUUUCCCCGAAG
Molecule: long non-coding RNA, 911 nt
Filed under: Olea europaea subsp. europaea
Lineage: Eukaryota; Viridiplantae; Streptophyta; Magnoliopsida; Lamiales; Oleaceae
Source: RNAcentral